UACGAGGGGGGCGAGCGUUGUUCGGAAUUAUUGGGCGUAAAGGGUGCGUAGGCGGUUUGGUAAGUCUUAUGUGAAAUCUACAGGCUCAACUUGUAGUCUGCAUGAGAAACUGCCGGGCUUGAGUAUGGGAGAGGUGAGUGGAAUUCCGAGUGUAGAGGUGAAACUCGUAGAUAUUCGGAAGAACACCAGUGGCGAAGGCGGCUCACUGGACCGGUAUUGACGCUGAGGUGCGAAAGCGUGGGGAGCAAACAGG
RNAcentral lists this ribosomal RNA (253 nucleotides) under uncultured bacterium. Its description in RNAcentral is "partial 16S ribosomal RNA". It matches the Rfam family "Bacterial small subunit ribosomal RNA", at positions 524 to 776 of the family's 1533-position model. The record is from RNAcentral.